This is a long non-coding RNA of Cyprinus carpio (common carp), 2141 nucleotides long. The record is from Ensembl. NCBI's taxonomy places the organism in Eukaryota, Metazoa, Chordata, Actinopteri, Cypriniformes, Cyprinidae.
GUUUUUCAUAAAAUAACAUAACAUGGGAAUUAUAUCAUAAAUAUAUAUAUUUUCCGAAAGUAAAUACACAUGACAUUUCUCACUCAGCGAGAUAAUAACAGCACUAAUACACACAAGCUCUCUCUCUCUCUCUCUCUUUCUUUCUCUGUGUGUCUCUGUCUCUCUCGCUCUCUUUCUAAUAACUUCAUUAAUAACUGCAUUAGAUUGCUAUCAACGGCUCAAGCCUCCAUUACCAGCCUUAAAAUUAUGUUUUGGAACCAGCAAAAGAGGCGUUUGAUGAGAUGCGGAAGAAAUAAUCCUACUCACAAUAGCGAUUUAAGUACAAAAACCGAUGAAUCCCUUUAAAUAUAUUAUCUGAUCGAUGUCUUGAAGUGUGGUAACCAUAGUAUAAGCGGAAUACUUCGCGUCCUGGCCGCAUCACCACCUCGGUUGUGCAUUAUUUUUCUAAUAAUUCAACUGAUAGUUCCGGUCCUUGAUUCUGAUUGGUUGAGCCGCGUUGUAAAUUACUCUACAAACAUACACCUUUGUUUAUUUCUGUGUGUUGCUCGGCAACCACUUUGUUGGAACCACAUUGUUUGGUGAAAGAAUACUGCUUUUAUUUAUAUCAUUACACUUUAUUUAACUCUGUUUUAUUCUGUGAAACCUUACUACUUAUAUGGAGUAACCGUUUUAUAAAAGCAAUAAGCCCCCGUGAAGCAGUGGUUUACAGUGAAUUUAUAAAUCUGUAAACCACGGCUUCUUGGGGGUUAUAGUUAUAUAUCACACAACUACAAAAAAUAUGUAACUUGCAACAUGCAGGAAAUAAUGACAUAAUAAGUGACGAAAAAAGGAGGAGGAGGAACUAAAACCAGACAAGGGUAAUGUUUUCACAUCUGCUCAGUAAGGAAAUACUUGAGGCUGCAACAUGAUGAUGAAUCUCCUUGCAGCCAUAUGGACCCUGACGCCUUUGAUUCUGUUGGGCACUCUUGCUGCUGACUGGACAGUGCGUGUUCCUAUGGAUCCAGUCUAUGCUACUUCUGGUUCUUCUGUAGUUUUGGAGUGCACCUAUGACUACCCAGAAGAGUCUGACCAGGGAAUACUACGCAAAGUGCUGUCAGAGAUGUGGUGUCUGAAUGAAAGCCGCUGCAUUACUCCCAGAUACGUGUACCACAGUGCAGGGAUAUUCCCUGAGCCCUCAUACCAGGGCCGAGUCAAGUACUUGGGGCAGACAGGAAGCAAAAACUGCUCUCUGAUGAUAUCUGAUCUGAGGUCAGAAGACAGCGGCGUGUACGUGUUCCGGUUCAUCACCGACCACCUGAAAGCCAAGCUACCAGGACAGAGAGGAGUGAAUCUACAGGUCACACAUCAGAUAAAAUCAAUAAGUGCAUCUUCAUUCACUACUGGCAUUGUGCUUGGAGUUAUUAUAAUGGUUAUCAUAAUAGCAGGCAUUGUGGUACUCAUCAGACGCAAGUCACGGGGAGAGAGGUCAAUAUCACUUUAAACCAGCUAUUACCACGGAGGAUGAAAAAAAUUACUUUUGACUGUAAACAAAACAGAGAUGUAAACCAAUAGUUCUGCUUUUUUUGUUUUGUUUUUGUGUGUCACUUUUACAUUCAUUUUAUAGAUUUUUGCAUCCAUUACAGUCUGUAUUAUUUAUCUAUUCAUAUUAUUUUCUGCACAUCAAACGGUAUGUUUCAUUCUCAUAUUUCACUUUUUGCAGUCUUAUUUAUCUUUUUGUAGUCUAUUGCAGAUCAUAUUGUAUUUUACUUUUUGCAUGUCACUGCCGCUGUGUUGCAUGUCAGGGUGACAACACUGCCUUCAACCACUGAACUAGUGUCUGAACAACUCUUUUUUUUCACAGUCUGUAAAAAGAGAAAAUAAUGGUUAUGUAGUAAGCAAUUUUUAUUAAGCCAGCAAAAAAAGAAAACAGGAAAGAAAACCACCUCUCAUUCUACCCUCUUCAGCACAUCAUUUUAAUCAAAAAAGCAUGUGGUAUUGUUUCUAAAACCUCAUUUACCCUAAAAAAUUACUAUCAAUCUGUUGCUAUUUUCUCACCCUUGAAUCUAUGAAGAACCUAGAUACAGUUCCAGGUUGGGAAUAUAUAUAUAUUUAAUUUCAGUAAUUGCAAUAAAUUGUGUAUUAAUGCUAGAAAAUAUAUGAAA